RNAcentral lists this non-coding RNA (29 nucleotides) under Homo sapiens (human). Lineage: Eukaryota; Metazoa; Chordata; Mammalia; Primates; Hominidae. The record is from RNAcentral.
UGGCUGCAAUUACAACAAGAAGUGAAGGA